This 2968-nucleotide long non-coding RNA is filed under the name Mus musculus (house mouse). RNAcentral's name for it is "predicted gene 3764". Lineage: Eukaryota; Metazoa; Chordata; Mammalia; Rodentia; Muridae. The record is from RNAcentral.
GGGACUCGAGACCCUGCUCCACCCUGCUGGCUCUCGCUCGGCCCCAUUACCUGGCAAGCCCCGGCAUCCUUGACCCACGUCCGUGGCGCUGCCUGGGUAGGAACGCGCCUGAAGACCGCGCAGGACACUACCACUGGGCAUCCUGGGUUUGAUGCAGACAUCCUGCACUACAUUCCAGAUCUGAUGAGGCAUGGCUGCCCCAGGAUUACUGGGCUCGGACGGGAGCAGUGGUAGGAAGGAUCCUAUAUAAGUCAUGUGAGACAUAGAAUGUUCAGAUCAACUGAAGCUGAAACAAGCCUUUGGCAUCAUAUAUAACCCAGAAAGGGACAAAGCUGAUCCCAGAGGACUCAAGGCUAUGGGUGAUGUCGAAGGUGCGGAAGAAUCAAGUUGGAAAGACCAGCAGGAGACAGACAGAGUAAGGUUCCUUGAAUGCUUGGUUUAUGUGCCUGGCUGGAGGAGACACCCAUGGCCUUGCAGAGGGAGCGUUCUGGUGGGAAAGCAGACACAACCCACCCUAGGCCCGUGGUUUCCCUGCAAGAAGCCCAGUGGCUUUCUGGAGGACACUUUUCCUGGAGGAAGUGACUCAAGAGCAGCAUAAGCCAGGCUCUAUGGAAUGUUGGGUGAGCUGCUUGAGGAACUCCAAGGCCUGUCCCACAGUCUUCCAGCCUCCGACUCUCCGGCCCUCAGCGAGGAAGUCCCACUGGUUUUUUUGGUUGGUUUUUUUUUUUUUUUUUAAGGUUUUUUGGUUUUUUUUUUUUUUUCUCAUUCCUGUCUUGGGAGCUUUCCCCAACCAGGAGAGUGAAGAUGGGCGGAGCUGUCACACCAACUGUUAGCCUGCCUUGGCUGAGAGGAGAGGAGGCGAGGAGGGAGCGACCACCCAGCUUUAGUCGUUUUAAAACAGCUCCUGACCCUAGAAGAAGGGAAAUGGAGAUGAAGACCCAAUUGACUUGGUAUGAAGUUUAAAUGCCCCUUCAAGACUUGGGGGUCGAGGACGGUGAGAUUGGCUCAGUGGAUAGAUUCACUUGCCUCUAAGCCUGACAACCUAAGUUAAUAUCCUCUACCCACAUAUGGAAGGAAAAAAAUGAUUUCCAAAAGUUGUCCUCUGACCUCCACACAGAGACCAUGGCCUGUGCACCACCCCCCGAAAAUGUAAUAUAUUUUUUAAAAAGACAUGGGGACUUCCAUUCAGUGUCUCCCAAUGUUUGGGGAUUUCCUUUCCUUAUUUCCUUACUCCCUGUCGGUGCCCUAGAGGAGACAGAGAGAGUCUAACUACGGAGAGGUCAUUCUCUAGGUUGGUUGGUGGAAUAUUCAGGACUCCUGGGAAGGCUCCAACUGGUCCCUGAGAGUCCCAGUUUCCUCUAUCACACAGCAGAAGGUGGGGAAUGGCUGCCGUGGUUGGAAGAGCGCGUUGGUGCUGAGGGGGCCAGCUGGUUGAGAAGCAGGUGGAGAGGGAAAGGACCCUGCUUAAGAGGGGGCUGGGUGGGAAGGCUGGGUAAUUUAUGAUAUCAUUGUUCCCGCCCCUCUUCCCAGCCCCCUGCCACUUUACUGUUGCUAGGAGAUCCUGGCUGGCCCUGUCAAAUGGAAAACUCCUCCUCAGCCAGAGUAGGCCCUACCCUGAGUCACAACAGACCCUAAACACACCAGUGUCUCCUAUGAAUCCAUUCAGGUUCAGCCAGCUUGGGCGUGGGACUACCUGACCGAGCAAGUGCUUGUGUGUGUGUGUGUGUGUGUGUGUGUGUGUGUGUGUGUGUGUGUGUGUGUGUGUGAUAUGGAGGGAGCCAGGAGAUAGACUUUGAGGAUGGAGGAGCACUCUGAGGGCCUGCAGGUGACCCUGGGAACCAAGCCUGGGAAGAACCUAAGUUAAUAAUGCAAUCUUUAUCUUAGAGAGAGUGAUCUUUCAGCAGACUGAUCGAACACACAGGCUUCUCAGCCCACUCCCUCCAGUCAAGGUUAAGGCCUGGCAAAGGUGGAGGAAGAGAAGCUGAGGAGAAAAAGGCGAGGAGAGCCUAGGCACAGGAAGGUGACCGUGAGUAGAGUUGGGUGGUCCAGGGAUGUGGCUGGGAUCCCCUCUUCCUUCUGGAGUUCUCUUAGACAGUAAGGCUGAAGAGAAGCUUGGUACAGGAACUUCGAAGGUUUCUCAAGCUGCAGGUCAUGGCUACCUGUGUUUCUUAGCACUGGCCUUGACUUGGCUACCACAGGCUUUUGUCUCAGUUUAUCUGCCCUGGCUGAAACCCAAAUGAUCCUGUCUCCAGCUCCAUAAGAGCAAUCAGAGGUCCCCCAAAAUCUCUGUCUGCUCCCUAGAGUCAUGGGCUGCUUCUUGUUCUGUGCUCCACACAGGCUUCCCUCCCUCCCAGUGCUGAUUUCCUGUGGACCAGAUUCCAGCACAGUGGAGGGCCAGAGCUCAGGGAACAGACCCAGCAGCACAGCAAGUCUCCAAGGAAAGCUCUAGCAGUCUCCAGGGGCUGAAGGCAGGACUGGGGAAGCGGCUAGCCAGGCUGCAGAAGGCAAAUGCUCCCAGACGGCUGUCCAGCACGCAUCCGCCUUCCUAGCCAAGUUUCCUGGGCUCCUGCCACAGAUCUAAGCCUCAUCCUGACAUCCUGCCCUCUGUGCUCUGGGAUGGCCCAGGGGAGAUGCUUAGCCUUGGCUCCUUGUCUGCUGGUGGAGGGGACACACACCCUUUCUGGACCACAGACCAAAAAGAAGACCUGACGUCAUCCUGAGCACCCCCGCCAUGCAGAGUGUGUUCGCAGACUGCCAACGGGCUGGCUCCGGCCAGCAGAAGUGAACAGAGGUGGAGGUUCAGCCUGACAGCUUCUCCCCAAAGCCAUGGAGAGAAAACCUUACCACCCCCACCGCCCAGCUACUUCCAGCAAGUUGUCCAGCCUGACCCCUCUAUUUCCCCUGUUGUCUCUUAUCUGGGUCCCUGAGACCCACCCCAUCUCCAAUAAAGAACAUUGCAUACUGUGCA